AUGAUUGUUACGACAAUAAUAUUUGGGGCAGUGUUUUGGCAAAAAGGGAAGGAAAUAAACACUCACCGGGAUUUGUUCAAUGUGUUUGGAUCAAUAAAUGUAUUCUUCUAUGGCUUAUUCAUUUGCACAGUCUACACCAUAUUCAUUCUCUUUUCUGGAUUCCUCAUUCUAGGACCUAUUAGUGGUUCAAGAAUGAAGAUUGCUGGAAGAUUCAUUGUCAUUUAUUUUGUUGACUGGUAUAGAUGGUUAAUUGUGGUGAAGAUGUUACAAAGGUUGACACGAAGCCUGAUGGCACUUGCCGUGUUAAGGCAAAGAGUGAAAGUGAAUGUCUGGAUUUAA
This 339-nucleotide long non-coding RNA is filed under the name Vicia faba (fava bean). Lineage: Eukaryota; Viridiplantae; Streptophyta; Magnoliopsida; Fabales; Fabaceae. The record is from RNAcentral.